CUCAAUUGGAAAGAGGAGUGGCGGACGGGUGAGUAACACGUGGGUAACCUACCCAUCAGAGGGGGAUAACACUUGGAAACAGGUGCUAAUACCGCAUAACAGUUUAUGCCGCAUGGCAUAAGAGUGAAAGGCGCUUUCGGGUGUCGCUGAUGGAUGGACCCGCGGUGCAUUAGCUAGUUGGUGAGGUAACGGCUCACCAAGGCCACGAUGCAUAGCCGACCUGAGAGGGUGAUCGGCCACACUGGGACUGAGACACGGCCCAGACUCCUACGGGAGGCAGCAGUAGGGAAUCUUCGGCAAUGGACGAAAGUCUGACCGAGCAACGCCGCGUGAGUGAAGAAGGUUUUCGGAUCGUAAAACUCUGUUGUUAGAGAAGAACAAGGACGUUAGUAACUGAACGUCCCCUGACGGUAUCUAACCAGAAAGCCACGGCUAACUACGUGCCAGCAGCCGCGGUAAUACGUAGGUGGCAAGCGUUGUCCGGAUUUAUUGGGCGUAAAGCGAGCGCAGGCGGUUUCUUAAGUCUGAUGUGAAAGCCCCCGGCUCAACCGGGGAGGGUCAUUGGAAAC
Molecule: ribosomal RNA, 569 nt
Filed under: uncultured Bacilli bacterium
Lineage: Bacteria; Bacillati; Bacillota; Bacilli
Description: bacterial SSU rRNA
Rfam family: Bacterial small subunit ribosomal RNA
Source: RNAcentral